This is a long non-coding RNA of Pollicipes pollicipes, 187 nucleotides long. RefSeq lists it as uncharacterized. The transcript has 3 exons. NCBI's taxonomy places the organism in Eukaryota, Metazoa, Arthropoda, Thecostraca, Pollicipedomorpha, Pollicipedidae. The record is from RefSeq and is a predicted model, not a curated record.
UUUGGGUCGGCGGUCUGAGGGGCUGUUAUUGUCCUUGCGGACAUGUUUGUGCACGCAGCAGGCUCAAAUACGUAUCAGGCUGGAGAUUAUGUUUAUUGUGAAGUGUCCCCCACAGAUCCAUACCAGGUUCGCAGAAUUGAAGAACUGAAACAGAAUACUGGCAGUGUUGUAGAAGCCAAGAUGACGU